UACAGAGGGUGCGAACGUUGCUCGGAAUUACUGGGCGUAAAGCGCGUGUAGGCGGUCCGUUAAGUUGGUAGUGAAAUCCCAUGGCUCAACCAUGGAAGUGCUGCCAAAACUGGCGGGCUGGAGUGCCGGAGAGGGUGGCGGAAUUCCCAGUGUAGAGGUGAAAUUCGUAGAUAUCUGGAGGAAUACCGGUGGCGAAGGCGGCAUCCUGGACCGAGAUUGACACUGAUGAGCGAAAGCUAGGGGAGCAAACGGG
RNAcentral lists this ribosomal RNA (253 nucleotides) under uncultured bacterium. Its description in RNAcentral is "partial 16S ribosomal RNA". It matches the Rfam family "Bacterial small subunit ribosomal RNA", at positions 524 to 776 of the family's 1533-position model. The record is from RNAcentral.